Molecule: ribosomal RNA, 397 nt
Filed under: uncultured eukaryote
Lineage: Eukaryota
Description: SSU rRNA
Rfam family: Eukaryotic small subunit ribosomal RNA
Source: RNAcentral
UGAAACUGCGAAUGGCUCAUUAUAUCAGUCUAAAUAUACUUGAUAGUACCUUACUACUUGGAUAACCGUGGUAAUUCUAGAGCUAAUACAUGCUAAAAACCCAGACUUCGGAAUGGGUGUAUUUAUUAGAUAAAAAACCAAUGCCCUUCGGGGCUCCCUGGUGAUUCAUGAUAACUUAACGAAUCGCAUGGCCUUGUGCCGGCGAUGGUUCAUUCUAUAUUCUGCCCUAUCAACUUUCGAUGGUAGGAUAGUGGCCUACCAUGGUGUUAACGGGUAACGGGGAAUUAGGGUUCUAUUCCGGAGAGGGAGCCUGAGAAACGGCUACCACAUCCAAGGAAGGCAGCAGGCGCGCAAAUUACCCAAUCCCGACACGGGGAGGUAGUGACAAUAAAUACUG